GAUGAACGCUGGCGGCAUGCCUAACACAUGCAAGUCGAACGGAGCUAUUAGACGGAAGCCUUCGGGCGGAAGAUUAAUAGCUUAGUGGCGGACGGGUGAGUAACGCGUGAGUAACCUGCCUCUCAGAGGGGGAUAACGUUCUGAAAAGAACGCUAAUACCGCAUAUAAUCAAGAAACCGCAUGAUUUUUUGAUGAAAGGAGCAAUCCGCUGAGAGAUGGACUCGCGUCUGAUUAGCUAGAUGGUGGGGUAACGGCCUACCAUGGCGACGAUCAGUAGCCGGACUGAGAGGUUGAACGGCCACAUUGGGACUGAGACACGGCCCAGACUCCUACGGGAGGCAGCAGUGGGGGAUAUUGCGCAAUGGGGGAAACCCUGACGCAGCAAUGCCGCGUGAAGGAAGAAGGUUUUCGGAUUGUAAACUUCUUUUGUUAAGGACGAAGAAUGACGGUACUUAACGAAUAAGCUCCGGCUAACUAUGUG
This 481-nucleotide ribosomal RNA is filed under the name uncultured organism. RNAcentral describes it as "bacterial SSU rRNA". It matches the Rfam family "Bacterial small subunit ribosomal RNA", at positions 28 to 507 of the family's 1533-position model. The record is from RNAcentral.